AGAGUUUGAUCCUGGCUCAGGACGAACGCUGGCGGUGUGCCUCACACAUGCAAGUCGAACGAGGUAGCAAUACCUAGUGGCGGACGGGUGAGUAACGCGUGGGAAUCUGCCUUCAGGUAGGGGAUAGCAGGCCGAAAGGCCUAUUAAUACCGUAUACGUGUACAUCCCGACAGGGAUAUACAUAAAAGGAGCAAUCCGCC
This 200-nucleotide ribosomal RNA is filed under the name uncultured bacterium. Its description in RNAcentral is "partial 16S ribosomal RNA". It matches the Rfam family "Bacterial small subunit ribosomal RNA", at positions 8 to 219 of the family's 1533-position model. The record is from RNAcentral.